Molecule: ribosomal RNA, 254 nt
Filed under: uncultured bacterium
Lineage: Bacteria
Description: partial 16S ribosomal RNA
Rfam family: Bacterial small subunit ribosomal RNA
Source: RNAcentral
UACGAAGGGGGCAAGCGUUGUUCGGAAUUACUGGGCGUAAAGGGCGCGCAGGCGGCCGAUCAAGUCAGAUGUGAAAGUCCCGGGCUCAACCUGGGAAUAGCAUUUGGGACUGGUCGGCUAGAGUUCGGGAGAGGAGAGUGGAAUUCCCAGUGUAGAGGUGAAAUUCGUAGAUAUUGGGAAGAACACCGGUGGCGAAGGCGGCUCUCUGGACCGACACUGACGCUGAGGCGGCGAAAGCGUGGGGAGCAAACAGG